AACGCGAAGAACCUUACCUACCCUUGACAUCCAGAGAAUCCUGCAGAGAUGCGGGAGUGCCGAAAGGAACUCUGAGACAGGUGCUGCAUGGCUGUCGUCAGCUCGUGUUGUGAGAUGUUGGGUUAAGUCCCGUAACGAGCGCAACCCUUGUACUUAGUUGCCAACGCGUAAUGGCGGGAACUCUAAGUAGACUGCCGGUGACGAACCGGAGGAAGGCGGGGACGACGUCAAGUCAUCAUGGCCUUUAUGGGUAGGGCCACACACGUGCUACAAUGGUCGGUACAAAGGGCAGCCAAAGCGCGAGCUGGAGCCAAUCCCAGAAAGCCGAUCGUAGUCCGGAUUGAAGUCUGCAACUCGACUUCAUGAAGUCGGAAUCGCUAGUAAUCGCGAAUCAGAAUGUCGCGGUGAAUACGUUCCCGGGCCUGUACACACCGACGUAUA
Molecule: ribosomal RNA, 441 nt
Filed under: uncultured bacterium
Lineage: Bacteria
Description: bacterial SSU rRNA
Rfam family: Bacterial small subunit ribosomal RNA
Source: RNAcentral